Molecule: ribosomal RNA, 274 nt
Filed under: uncultured bacterium
Lineage: Bacteria
Description: partial 16S ribosomal RNA
Rfam family: Bacterial small subunit ribosomal RNA
Source: RNAcentral
AUACGGAGGGUGCGAGCGUUAAUCGGAAUUACUGGGCGUAAAGCGCGCGUAGGCGGCUUUGUAAGUCGGAUGUGAAAGCCCUGGGCUCAACCUGGGAAUUGCACUCGAUACUGCAGAGCUAGAGUAUGGUAGAGGGAAGUGGAAUUUCCGGUGUAGCGGUGAAAUGCGUAGAUAUCGGAAGGAACACCAGUGGCGAAGGCGACUUCCUGGGCCAAUACUGACGCUGAGGUGCGAAAGCGUGGGGAGCAAACAGGAUUAGAAACCCGAGUAGUCC